This is a long non-coding RNA of Prunus avium (sweet cherry), 583 nucleotides long. RefSeq lists it as uncharacterized. The record is from RefSeq and is a predicted model, not a curated record. Lineage: Eukaryota; Viridiplantae; Streptophyta; Magnoliopsida; Rosales; Rosaceae.
UUGCCCUUGGUCAGCUAAAGCGUUUCUCUUUGCUUUAUCUUUCAGAAGAAUGCUCCUGCCUUUUCAACUCUCACCCACAAAAGCUAAAGCGUCUUGCUUAGCUUCUCUCGCUCCAAGUUUUGGUCAAAGCCUAUAUUGUAAGGUGUCCAUGGCAGUCAAGAUUGACUUGAAUUUGCUCGAAGAAGAUGUUGAUGGUGUGAGUCAAGAUAACACUAAUAUAUUUAAGAGUGCAAGCUUUAUUUCGCGAGGGUAAUCAUGGAGCUAACGCUUUGGCAAAUCACGAUGUUCAGGGCUCUGGUUUCACAUGGUGGGACACUGCACCUUCAUUUAUUUUGUCUUCGUCAUCGGGACCAACUAGGCAUGCCCAGUUACCGUUUUACUUAGUCUCUUUUUGUUUACUCUUUCAGAGUUUUGGUUUCUUGGGUCCGCAUGUUGCUGUGCCUUUAUGUCACUAUCUUUCUUUUCUGUAGGGUUUUGGUUUGGUCCCUCUGCUGUACCUGUUUUCUUUAUAUGUUUCUUUUAUAUUAAUAAAAUUAUGAUCAAGUAGAUGGGCGGGGGGCUCCCGGAAUGUGUUGGUCCCUUC